Molecule: long non-coding RNA, 1424 nt
Organism: Mustela lutreola (European mink)
Lineage: Eukaryota; Metazoa; Chordata; Mammalia; Carnivora; Mustelidae
Exons: 5
Source: RefSeq, a predicted model, not a curated record
UCAAGCCGGGGCCAGGUGGGGACCAGGAGCAGCAGGGGAGAUGCCAAGAGUCAACAGAUGGGAAAAAACAAGAAACACUAAAUGGGAGACUCAAUUGUUUGGGUGGAAGAAUUUACCUUCUAGCUGAUUUUUAAAAUAUUUCCUCAUCUUAAAACAAGAAAACAAACAAGAUGGUCCAUAGCACCUUUGUAAUCAGCACAAUUCAAUCAACUUCCACUAUCGUUGUUCUUCAAGUGACCACUCUGGGUGAGCUGUACUAGUUGUGAAGAGUAUUUACUUCUAGACUUCCGCCUCCGACACUUACCAGAAAAAAUAAAAGAUUACGAUAAUGUACUUAUGAAGAUGAAUGAAUCCAUUUCUUCUAUUUGAUAUGAAACUCCUUAAAGUUCUGCAGCCUCCUUUUUGCUUAUUCAACACUCCACUCCUUUUUAUGAAGUGCUGGGCACUGUGGAUAUCUUGAGGAUACAAAGGGAGAAGGCAUCAGGUUGGCUAAGCUUAGGCCAUGUGUCCACCAUUGGCCAGAGGAAGAUAGGUACCACUAUUGACUAUAUCCUGUAAAAAAGAAGUGUUUAUCCAAACCACAUUUGGAAUGCCGUGAUCACAAAAAGGGAGAAAAGAUACUGAGCUGCCAAAAUAAAAUUGUCCACUAUAGGAGUCACUCUUCUUGCUGGAUGAGUUCUCAGAGUCCCAGUCUUGUGGAUUCCUAGUCUAUACCUUUCUCUGUGCUUAACUGGAUGAAGUUUCAGCAUGCCUUCUAAUUGGUUCCACAUGGUUUCGAAAGCUCUCAAUAUAUGAAUACCAGGAGUCUUUGAAAUAUAAUUCUCCAAUAAGAAGUAAGCAUAAAUAAUGGAAAAGAAUCUAUUUUUCUCCAGAAUGGUAGAUUUUUAAAUACUAGAAAUGUAAAUAACAAUGAGAACCCACAAAGAAACCUCUUUUUUAUUAAAAAAAAGAAAAAAGAAAAAAACAACCCUGUAUAGUCAUAUCAUUUAGAGCAACUCCUUAAGGAAAAAAAGUCAUGCCCUGUGCCUUUCCCAGCACUCAAUAGUUAGCCAAAAUAUUAACUAAUAAUCCCUCUGUCUAUUGCGCUCAGAAUCAUUUUUUUAUUUUAUUAUUUUACAGUGAUAAAUAUUUGUUUUAUUUAAAAUUAUAAAUACAGGGGUGCCUAGGUGGCUCAGUCAGUUAAGCAUCUGCCUUCAGCUCAGGUUAUGAUCCCAAGGUCCUGGGAUCAAGUCCCACAUCAGGCUCCCUGCUCAGAGGGGAGUCUGCUUUUCCCUCUCCCUCUGUCCUUGCCCCCAGCUUGAGCUCUCUCACUCUCGCUCUCACUUUCCCUCAAAUAAAUAAAUAAAAUCUUUAAAAAACAAAAUAAUAUAAAAUAAAAUUACAAAUACAGAACACCACGUAAUUUUACAAAGAUUAGAACUCUG